GGGAUAGAAGCGGUAUCCAUCCUGCGUAGCAGGAGGAUAAGAGCGGAUAGCCCGACCCCGC
Molecule: unclassified non-coding RNA, 61 nt
Filed under: Algoriphagus ornithinivorans
Lineage: Bacteria; Pseudomonadati; Bacteroidota; Cytophagia; Cytophagales; Cyclobacteriaceae
Description: Flavo-1 RNA
Source: RNAcentral